This 115-nucleotide ribosomal RNA is filed under the name Canis lupus dingo (dingo). Lineage: Eukaryota; Metazoa; Chordata; Mammalia; Carnivora; Canidae. The record is from RNAcentral.
GUCUACGGCCAUACCACCCUGAACGCGCCCGAUCUCGUCUGAUCUCGGAAGCUAAGCAGGGUCGGGCCUGGUUAGUACUUGGAUGGGAGAAAUAUAGAAGAAAGAGCCAUUGAAC